CCUUAUUUUACUUCUCCGUUGAAUCACAAAGUCCUUCAUUUCCAAACAAGACAGCCGCUUAAGACCAACCAAUACACAAUAUGAACCCUAGAUCUGGGAAUUUUUUCAUCUUUGUGUCUCUUUCAUAUCUAUCUUUAAUUCUCUAAACUGGUUUGUUUGCUCUUUGAUUUGGACGUUGUUAGAAUACAUCUUUAUUUCUAUGUGCCUAAAUCUCAUGUUUAAUUGAUUUUUAUUUUGCCAUACAAGCAAGCUGAGCUUGAAUCACUACCGGAGUUUUCUUUGCCGCCCAAACAUCUUCUAAUGGUAUAUACAAGUCAGCCCAUGAGACCAGACAAGUGUCUGCAUCUGAACCUUUAGUUGGUGAUUAGGGUUUUUACAGCUUCUUGAAAUUAAGCUUUCAAUUGGGUUUGAAAUCAAGGGCUGAUGCAUUCAACUGGAAGGUAAAUGAAUUAUAAAAGAGCGGAGGAAAUAAAGAAACCAAGAUAGAGAAUAUAGAAGAGCUAGCAGUGGAGAGCUCAAAUCAAAUUAAAGAAUCUUUGUCGUAGAUUAAUCUUCAUACCAACCAAGUUAUUGGUGGAUAUUAGAUGGUAUAUGUGGUUUGGUUGUAACACUAGUUAUUAGUAGUGCAUAAUGAUGAUUUUUGUUUACAAA
This is a long non-coding RNA of Daucus carota subsp. sativus, 651 nucleotides long. RefSeq lists it as uncharacterized. The transcript is spliced from 3 exons. The record is from RefSeq and is a predicted model, not a curated record. NCBI's taxonomy places the organism in Eukaryota, Viridiplantae, Streptophyta, Magnoliopsida, Apiales, Apiaceae.